AUUGAACGCUGGCGGCAGGCCUAACACAUGCAAGUCGAGCGGAUGAAGGGAGCUUGCUCCUGGAUUCAGCGGCGGACGGGUGAGUAAUGCCUAGGAAUCUGCCUGGUAGUGGGGGAUAACGUCCGGAAACGGGCGCUAAUACCGCAUACGUCCUGAGGGAGAAAGUGGGGGAUCUUCGGACCUCACGCUAUCAGAUGAGCCUAGGUCGGAUUAGCUAGUUGGUGGGGUAAAGGCCUACCAAGGCGACGAUCCGUAACUGGUCUGAGAGGAUGAUCAGUCACACUGGAAGUGAGACAGCGUCCAGACUCCUACGGGAGGCAGCAGUGGGCAAUAUUGGGCAAUGGGGGAAAGCCUGAUCCAGCCAUGGCGCGUGUGUGAAGAAGGUCUUCCGAUUGUAAAGCACUUUAAGUUGGGGGGAAGGGCAGUAAGUUAAUACCUUGCUUUUUUGACGGUACCAACAGAAUAAGCACCGGCUAACUUCGUG
Molecule: ribosomal RNA, 484 nt
Filed under: uncultured bacterium
Lineage: Bacteria
Description: partial 16S ribosomal RNA
Rfam family: Bacterial small subunit ribosomal RNA
Source: RNAcentral